This 404-nucleotide ribosomal RNA is filed under the name uncultured bacterium. RNAcentral describes it as "partial 16S ribosomal RNA". It matches the Rfam family "Bacterial small subunit ribosomal RNA", at positions 28 to 526 of the family's 1533-position model. The record is from RNAcentral.
GACGAACGCUGGCGGCGUGCUUAACACAUGCAAGUCGAGCGGAGCGGCGAACGGGUGAGUAACGCGUGAGUAACUGCCCCCCUCUCCGGGAUAACAGUUGGAAACGGCUGCUAAUACCGGCUAGUGGGGGAUGACUCGCGUCCUAUCAGCUUGUUGGUCGGGUAGUGGCCGACCAAGGCGACGACGGGUAGCCGGCCUGAGAGGGCGACCGGCCACAUGGGGCUGGGCUACGGCACACACUACUACGGGAUGCAGCAGUGGGGAAUAUUGCACAAUGGGGGAAAGCCUGAUGCAGCAACGCGCGUGCGGGAUGACGGCCUUCUGGUUGGAAACCGCUUUCAGCCAGGACGCGGUAGUGGCAGAAGAAGCACCGGCUAACUACGUGCCAGCAGCCGCGGUAAUAC